This 497-nucleotide ribosomal RNA is filed under the name uncultured bacterium. RNAcentral describes it as "partial 16S ribosomal RNA". It matches the Rfam family "Bacterial small subunit ribosomal RNA", at positions 28 to 507 of the family's 1533-position model. The record is from RNAcentral.
GAUGAACGCUGGCGGCGUGCCUAAUACAUGCAAGUCGAGCGAACAGACGAGGAGCUUGCUCCUCUGACGUUAGCGGCGGACGGGUGAGUAACACGUGGAUAACCUACCUAUAAGACUGGGAUAACUUCGGGAAACCGGAGCUAAUACCGGAUAACAUGUUGAACCGCAUGGUUCAACAGUGAAAGACGGUCUUGCUGUCACUUAUAGCUGGAUCCGCGCCGCAUUAGCUAGUUGGUAAGGUAACGGCUUACCAAGGCAACGAUGCGUAGCCGACCUGGGAGGGGGAUCGGCCACACGGGAGGUGAGACACGGUCCUGACUCCUACGGGAGGCAGCAGUAGGGAAUGUGCCGCAGUGGUCGAAAGCCUUACGGAGCAACGCCGCGUGUGAGAUGAAGGUCUUCGGAUCGUAAAACUCUGUUAUUAGGGAAGAACAAAUGUGUAAGUAACUAUGCACGUCUUGACGGUACCUAAUCAGAAAGCCACGGCUAACUACGUG